This 311-nucleotide long non-coding RNA is filed under the name Macaca mulatta (Rhesus monkey). Its description in RNAcentral is "lncRNA (ENSMMUG00000058578.1)". The record is from RNAcentral. Lineage: Eukaryota; Metazoa; Chordata; Mammalia; Primates; Cercopithecidae.
GGAAGAAGAUUUUUCACCUAGUGGAGUCAUUGAACAGUGGUCUUCAAAUUGGGAUUAUUUCCAAGAAUUUUCUUCCUUCCAAAUAACCAAGGACCUCUUGUCUUAUUUGACUCCUCGGGACCUACUGCUUUCCACACUAAAACCAGUGCAGUUAGUUAACAUGCUGAUCUGAUCACCUAACAUGAUGAACUAGUGCCAAAUGUGGAUAUAACUGGAGGAGCUCGAGGUUUAAAAGGUAAGUAACAUUCCAGAAGAUACAUAGCUUAUAACUAGUGACAACUAGAGGAGGAAGGAGUCAGUUGCAGGCCUGU